AAUGAACGCUGGCGGCAGGCCUAACACAUGCAAGUCGAGCGGUAGCACAGAGAGCUUGCUCUCGGGUGACGAGCGGCGGACGGGUGAGUAAUGUCUGGGAAACUGCCUGAUGGAGGGGGAUAACUACUGGAAACGGUAGCUAAUACCGCAUAACGUCGCAAGACCAAAGUGGGGGACCUUCGGGCCUCAUGCCAUCAGAUGUGCCCAGAUGGGAUUAGCUGGUAGGUGGGGUAACGGCUCACCUAGGCGACGAUCCCUAGCUGGUCUGAGAGGAUGACCAGCCACACUGGAACUGAGACACGGUCCAGACUCCUACGGGAGGCAGCAGUGGGGAAUAUUGCACAAUGGGCGCAAGCCUGAUGCAGCCAUGCCGCGUGUGUGAGGAAGGCCUUCGGGUUGUAAAGCACUUUCAGCGGGGAGGAAGGCGAUAAGGUUAAUAACCUUGUCGAUUGACGUUACCCGCAGAAGAAGCACCGGCUAACUCCGUGCCAGCAGCCGCGGUAAUACGGAGGGUGCAAGCGUUAAUCGGAAUUACUGGGCGUAAAGCGCACGCAGGCGGUCUGUCAAGUCGGAUGUGAAAUCCCCGGGCUCAACCUGGGAACUGCAUUCGAAACUGGCAGGCUAGAGUCUUGUAGAGGGGGGUAGAAUUCCAGGUGUAGCGGUGAAAUGCGUAGAGAUCUGGAGGAAUACCGGUGGCGAAGGCGGCCCCCUGGACAAAGACUGACGCUCAGGUGCGAAAGCGUGGGGAGCAAACAGGAUUAGAUACCCUGGUAGUCCACGCUGUAAACGAUGUCGAUUUGGAGGUUGUGCCCUUGAGGCGUGGCUUCCGGAGCUAACGCGUUAAAUCGACCGCCUGGGGAGUACGGCCGCAAGGUUAAAACUCAAAUGAAUUGACGGGGGCCCGCACAAGCGGUGGAGCAUGUGGUUUAAUUCGAUGCAACGCGAAGAACCUUACCUGGUCUUGACAUCCACAGAACUUAGCAGAGAUGCUUUGGUGCCUUCGGGAACUGUGAGACAGGUGCUGCAUGGCUGUCGUCAGCUCGUGUUGUGAAAUGUUGGGUUAAGUCCCGCAACGAGCGCAACCCUUAUCCUUUGUUGCCAGCGGUUAGGCCGGGAACUCAAAGGAGACUGCCAGUGAUAAACUGGAGGAAGGUGGGGAUGACGUCAAGUCAUCAUGGCCCUUACGACCAGGGCUACACACGUGCUACAAUGGCAUAUACAAAGAGAAGCGACCUCGCGAGAGCAAGCGGACCUCAUAAAGUAUGUCGUAGUCCGGAUUGGAGUCUGCAGCUCGACUCCAUGAAGUCGGAAUCGCUAGUAAUCGUAGAUCAGAAUGCUACGGUGAAUACGUUCCCGGGCCUUGUACACACCGCCCGUCACACCAUGGGAGUGGGUUGCAAAAGAAGUAGGUAGCUUAACCUUCGGGAGGGCGCUUACCACUUUGUGAUUCAUGACUGGGGUG
Molecule: ribosomal RNA, 1462 nt
Filed under: Klebsiella quasivariicola
Lineage: Bacteria; Pseudomonadati; Pseudomonadota; Gammaproteobacteria; Enterobacterales; Enterobacteriaceae
Description: bacterial SSU rRNA
Rfam family: Bacterial small subunit ribosomal RNA
Source: RNAcentral